RNAcentral lists this transfer RNA (77 nucleotides) under Litorimonas cladophorae. RNAcentral's name for it is "tRNA-Met". It matches the Rfam family "tRNA". Rfam says of the family: Transfer RNA (tRNA) molecules are approximately 80 nucleotides in length. The record is from RNAcentral. RNAcentral also lists the same sequence under 2 other names. Lineage: Bacteria; Pseudomonadati; Pseudomonadota; Alphaproteobacteria; Maricaulales; Robiginitomaculaceae.
GGGGGGUUAGCUCAAUUGGUUAGAGCCGUCCGCUCAUAACGGAUUGGUUGGGGGUUCGAGUCCCUCACCCCCUACCA